This 408-nucleotide ribosomal RNA is filed under the name Hydra polymorphus. RNAcentral describes it as "partial 16S ribosomal RNA". It matches the Rfam family "Bacterial large subunit ribosomal RNA", at positions 1925 to 2485 of the family's 2925-position model. The record is from RNAcentral. Lineage: Eukaryota; Metazoa; Cnidaria; Hydrozoa; Anthoathecata; Hydridae.
AAUGUGAUGCAGUACUCUGACUGUAAUAAAGUAGCAUAAUAAGUUGUCAUUUAAUUGGUGGAGAGAAUGAAUGGUUACACGAAUUUUUCACUGUCUUAAAAAAAAUUUUUUAAAAUUGAAAUAAUAGUUAAGAUGCUAUUUAAAAUUGUAAGACGAAGAGACCCUAUAGAGCUUUACUAUAAAUUUUUUUUCCUAGAAAAUAAUAAAUAUUAUUAGGAUUAGGAAAUUUGGUAGUUUAGUUGGGGCGACUGUUUUUUAAAAUUAACAAAAAUAAGCAAUAUAAUAAAUUUAUUUAUUGUAUAAUUAAAUAAUUUAACAAUUACUAAAGUAGGCUAUAAUGACCCGUUAUUUUAAUAAAUAAUAAAUAACGAUUAAUUAAUAAAAGCUACCUUAGGGAUAACAGGAAAU